CUCCUUGUGAUUCAUGAUACCUCUCAGAUCGCACGGCCUUGCGCUGGCGACGGUUCAUUCAAAUUUCUGCCCUAUCAACUUUCGAUGGUAAGGUAUUGGCUUACCAUGGUUUCAACGGGUAACGGGGAAUUAGGGUUCGAUUCCGGAGAGUGAGCCUGAGAAACGGCUCACACAUCCAAGGAAGGCAGCAGGCGCGCAAAUUACCCAAUCCCGACACGGGGAGGUAGUGACAAUAAAUACUGAUACAGGGCUCUUUUGGGUCUUGUAAUUGGAAUGAGUACAAUUUAAACCUCUUAACGAGGAACAAUUGGAGGGCAAGUCUGGUGCCAGCAGCCGCGGUAAUUCCAGCUCCAAUAGCGUAUAUUAAAGUUGUUGCAGUUAAAAAGCUCGUAGUUGAAUCUUUGGCCUGGCUGGCGGGUCCGCCUCACCGCGUGCACUUGUCCGGCCGGGCCUUCUCUUCUGGAGAACCGCAUGCCCUUCACUGGGCGUGUUGGGGACCAGGACUUUUACUUUGAAAAAAUUAGAGUGUUCAAAGCAGGCCUUUGCUCGAAUACGUUAGCAUGGAAUAAUAAAAUAGGACGUGCGGUCCUAUUUUGUUGGUUUCUAGGACCGCCGUAAUGAUUAAUAGGGACAGUCGGGGGCAUCAGUAUUCAAUUGUCAGAGGUGAAAUUCUUGGAUUUAUUGAAGACUAACUACUGCGAAAGCAUUUGCCAAGGAUGUUUUCAUUAAUCAGUGAACGAAAGUUAGGGGAUCGAAGACGAUCAGAUACCGUCGUAGUCUUAACCAUAAACUAUGCCGACUAGGGAUCGGGCGGUGUUAUCGAUUGACCCGCUCGGCACCUUACGAGAAAUCAA
RNAcentral lists this ribosomal RNA (854 nucleotides) under Vikalpa grandispora. RNAcentral's name for it is "SSU rRNA". It matches the Rfam family "Eukaryotic small subunit ribosomal RNA", at positions 240 to 1101 of the family's 1831-position model. Lineage: Eukaryota; Fungi; Ascomycota; Dothideomycetes; Pleosporales; Dictyosporiaceae. The record is from RNAcentral.